GACGAACGCUGGCGGCGUGCUUAACACAUGCAAGUCGAACGGAAAGGCCCUGCUUUUGUGGGGUGCUCGAGUGGCGAACGGGUGAGUAACACGUGAGUAACCUGCCCUUGACUUUGGGAUAACUUCAGGAAACUGGGGCUAAUACCGGAUAGGAGCUCCUGCUGCAUGGUGGGGGUUGGAAAGUUUCGGCGGUUGGGGAUGGACUCGCGGCUUAUCAGCUUGUUGGUGGGGUAGUGGCUUACCAAGGCUUUGACGGGUAGCCGGCCUGAGAGGGUGACCGGCCACAUUGGGACUGAGAUACGGCCCAGACUCCUACGGGAGGCAGCAGUGGGGAAUAUUGCACAAUGGGCGGAAGCCUGAUGCAGCAACGCCGCGUGCGGGAUGACGGCCUUCGGGUUGUAAACCGCUUUCGCCUGUGACGAAGCGUGAGUGACGGUAAUGGAUAAAGAAGCACCGGCUAACUACGUGCCAGCAGCCGCGGUGAUACGUAGGGUGCGAGCGUUGUCCGGAUUUAUUGGGCGUAAAGGGCUCGUAGGUGGUUGAUCGCGUCGGAAGUGUAAUCUUGGGGCUUAACCCUGAGCGUGCUUUCUAUACGGGUUGACUUGAGGAAGGUAGGGGAGAAUGGAAUUCCUGGUGGAGCGGUGGAAUGCGCAGAUAUCAGGAGGAACACCAGUGGCGAAGGCGGUUCUCUGGGCCUUUCCUGACGCUGAGGAGCGAAAGCGUGGGGAGCGAACAGGCUUAGAUACCCUGGUAGUCCACGCUGUAAACGGUGGGUACUAGGUGUGGGGUCCAUUCCACGGGUUCCGUGCCGUAGCUAACGCUUUAAGUACCCCGCCUGGGGAGUACGGCCGCAAGGCUAAAACUCAAAGGAAUUGACGGGGCCCCGCACAAGCGGCGGAGCAUGCGGAUUAAUUCGAUGCAACGCGUAGAACCUUACCUGGGUUUGACAUGGAUCGGGAGUGCUCAGAGAUGGGUGUGCCUCUUUUGGGGUCGGUUCACAGGUGGUGCAUGCCUGUCGUCAGCUCGUGUCGUGAGAUGUUGGGUUAAGUCCCGCAACGAGCGCAACCCUUGUUCACUGUUGCCAGCACGUUAUGGUGGGGACUCAGUGGAGACCGCCGGGGUCAACUCGGAGGAAGGUGGGGAUGACGUCAAGUCCUCAUGCCCCUUAUGUCCAGGGCUUCACGCAUGCUACAAUGGCUGGUACAGAGAGUGGCGAGCCUGUGAGGGUGAGCGAAUCUCGGAAAGCCGGUCUCAGUUCGGAUUGGGGUCUGCAACUCGACCUCAUGAAGUCGGAGUCGCUAGUAAUCGCAAAGGAGCANCGNUGCGGUGNAUNCGUUCCCGGGGCU
RNAcentral lists this ribosomal RNA (1346 nucleotides) under uncultured bacterium. RNAcentral describes it as "bacterial SSU rRNA". It matches the Rfam family "Bacterial small subunit ribosomal RNA", at positions 28 to 1381 of the family's 1533-position model. The record is from RNAcentral.